CCUUGGUCCCCACUCAAAAAGGCCCCUGGGCCCUCCUACUACUACCUAGCACUUUACUACCGAGCCUUAACAGUGGCGUAACGCAUGUGCUUUCCAGUUCCAGUCCAGUACUACAACGUCUUGACAACACGGUGGCGUUUUACAUAUAAACAAUACUGUAAAUGGAUUUGAACGUCUACGAAGGAAACUUUACAUUUAAUAAAUGUGACGUUUUACCUAUAAACAGUACUGUGGAAAUGGUUGAAACUCUACGAAGGAGACUUUACAAUUCAUAUACAAAGAAUUCACAAAUGUCAAGAACGGAUGUCUGGACUCGAUCGUGAAAGGGCAACAGAACUUAUAGUACCAACUACUAUGGAUAGACAAACAUGUUAUCAAUCAUCAAGCUUCCUGUACAAAUUCUGAAUAUGAAAUUAAUUAAAAUAUAUUGGGAUUUUUUUUAAUGUUAGCAAUAUUUAUGAAUUUGUGUAGGUUUUAUGUUUAUUAAUAUUGUAUUAUUACUACUAAUAUUUAUCUUAUAAUAGAAAAAUAACCCGUAAUGUUCUAACGACGACAUAUUAUGUAAGAAAAUAAAGAUUAAA
Molecule: long non-coding RNA, 581 nt
Organism: Anneissia japonica
Lineage: Eukaryota; Metazoa; Echinodermata; Crinoidea; Comatulida; Comatulidae
Exons: 4
Source: RefSeq, a predicted model, not a curated record